GACGAACGCUGUCGGCGGGCUUAACACAUGCAAGUCGAACGGAAAGGCCCUGCUUUUGUGGGGUGCUCGAGUGGCGAACGGGUGAGUAACACGUGAGUAACCUGCCCUUGACUUUGGGAUAACUUCAGGAAACUGGGGCUAAUACCGGAUAGGAGCUCCUGCUGCAUGGUGGGGGUUGGAAAGUUUCGGCGGUUGGGGAUGGACUCGCGGCUUAUCAGCUUGUUGGUGGGGUAGUGGCUUACCAAGGCUUUGACGGGUAGCCGGCCUGAGAGGGUGACCGGCCACAUUGGGACUGAGAUACGGCCCAGACUCCUACGGGAGGCAGCAGUGGGGAAUAUUGCACAAUGGGCGGAAGCCUGAUGCAGCAACGCCGCGUGCGGGAUGACGGCCUUCGGGUUGUAAACCGCUUUCGCCUGUGACGAAGCGUGAGUGACGGUAAUGGGUAAAGAAGCACCGGCUAACUACGUGCCAGCAGCCGCGGUGAUACGUAGGGUGCGAGCGUUGUCCGGAUUUAUUGGGCGUAAAGGGCUCGUAGGUGGUUGAUCGCGUCGGAAGUGUAAUCUUGGGGCUUAACCCUGAGCGUGCUUUCGAUACGGGUUGACUUGAGGAAGGUAGGGGAGAAUGGAAUUCCUGGUGGAGCGGUGGAAUGCGCAGAUAUCAGGAGGAACACCAGUGGCGAAGGCGGUUCUCUGGGCCUUUCCUGACGCUGAGGAGCGAAAGCGUGGGGAGCGAACAGGCUUAGAUACCCUGGUAGUCCACGCUGUAAACGGUGGGUACUAGGUGUGGGGUCCAUUCCACGGGUUCCGUGCCGUAGCUAACGCUUUAAGUACCCCGCCUGGGGAGUACGGCCGCAAGGCUAAAACUCAAAGGAAUUGACGGGGCCCCGCACAAGCGGCGGAGCAUGCGGAUUAAUUCGAUGCAACGCGUAGAACCUUACCUGGGUUUGACAUGGAUCGGGAGUGCUCAGAGAUGGGUGUGCCUCUUUUGGGGUCGGUUCACAGGUGGUGCAUGCCUGUCGUCAGCUCGUGUCGUGAGAUGUUGGGUUAAGUCCCGCAACGAGCGCAACCCUUGUUCACUGUUGCCAGCACGUUAUGGUGGGGACUCAGUGGAGACCGCCGGGGUCAACUCGGAGGAAGGUGGGGAUGACGUCAAGUCCUCAUGCCCCUUAUGUCCAGGGCUUCACGCAUGCUACAAUGGCUGGUACAGAGAGUGGCGAGCCUGUGAGGGUGAGCGAAUCUCGGAAAGCCGGUCUCAGUUCGAAUUGGGGUCUGCAACUCGACCUCAUGAAGUCGGAGUCGCUAGUAAUCGAAGAUCAGCAACGCUGCGGUGAAUACGUUCCCGGGGCC
This 1346-nucleotide ribosomal RNA is filed under the name uncultured bacterium. Its description in RNAcentral is "bacterial SSU rRNA". It matches the Rfam family "Bacterial small subunit ribosomal RNA", at positions 28 to 1381 of the family's 1533-position model. The record is from RNAcentral.